GAGAAUAUAGCUUAAAUGGUAAAGUUUUAAACUUUUAAUUUACAUGAUUUGGGUUCGAAUCCCAAUAUUCUCA
RNAcentral lists this transfer RNA (73 nucleotides) under Conidiobolus sp. Its description in RNAcentral is "tRNA-Lys". It matches the Rfam family "tRNA". From Rfam's summary of the family: Transfer RNA (tRNA) molecules are approximately 80 nucleotides in length. Their secondary structure includes four short double-helical elements and three loops (D, anti-codon, and T loops). Further hydrogen bonds mediate the characteristic L-shaped molecular structure. tRNAs have two regions of fundamental functional importance: the anti-codon, which is responsible for specific mRNA codon recognition, and the 3' end, to which the tRNAs corresponding amino acid is attached (by aminoacyl-tRNA synthetases). tRNAs cope with the degeneracy of the genetic code in two manners: having more than one tRNA (with a specific anti-codon) for a particular amino acid; and 'wobble' base-pairing, i.e. permitting non-standard base-pairing at the 3rd anti-codon position. Lineage: Eukaryota; Fungi; Entomophthoromycota; Entomophthoromycetes; Entomophthorales; Conidiobolaceae. The record is from RNAcentral.